Molecule: microRNA, 22 nt
Filed under: Callorhinchus milii (elephant shark)
Lineage: Eukaryota; Metazoa; Chordata; Chondrichthyes; Chimaeriformes; Callorhinchidae
Description: eshark_NOVEL_50
Source: RNAcentral
UGCUUGGCUCCCAUCAUUGCCU